CCUACGGGUGGCAGCAGUGGGGAAUAUUGGACAAUGGGGGGAACCCUGAUCCAGCCAUGCCGCGUGUGUGAAGAAGGCCCUCGGGUUGUAAAGCACUUUCAGUGAGGAAGAACGCCUGGUGGUUAAUACCCAUCAGGAAAGACAUCACUCACAGAAGAAGCACCGGCUAACUCCGUGCCAGCAGCCGCGGUAAUACGGAGGGUGCGAGCGUUAAUCGGAAUUACUGGGCGUAGAGCGCGCGUAGGUGGCUUGAUAAGCCGGUUGUGAAAGCCCCGGGCUCAACCUGGGAACGGCAUCCGGAACUGUCAAGCUAGAGUGCAGGAGAGGAAGGUAGAAUUCCCGGUGUAGCGGUGAAAUGCGUAGAGAUCGGGAGGAAUACCAGUGGCGAAGGCGGCCUUCUGGACUGACACUGACACUGAGGUGCGAAAGCGUGGGUAGCAAACAGGAUUAGAUACCCGAGUAGUC
RNAcentral lists this ribosomal RNA (465 nucleotides) under Vreelandella stevensii. RNAcentral's name for it is "partial 16S ribosomal RNA". It matches the Rfam family "Bacterial small subunit ribosomal RNA", at positions 338 to 795 of the family's 1533-position model. Lineage: Bacteria; Pseudomonadati; Pseudomonadota; Gammaproteobacteria; Oceanospirillales; Halomonadaceae. The record is from RNAcentral.